This 86-nucleotide transfer RNA is filed under the name Gluconobacter oxydans. Its description in RNAcentral is "tRNA-Leu". It matches the Rfam family "tRNA". From Rfam's summary of the family: Transfer RNA (tRNA) molecules are approximately 80 nucleotides in length. Lineage: Bacteria; Pseudomonadati; Pseudomonadota; Alphaproteobacteria; Acetobacterales; Acetobacteraceae. The record is from RNAcentral.
GCGACCGUGGUGGAACGGCAGACACGCAUGCUUGAGGUGCAUGUGAGCGAAAGCUCGUGGGAGUUCAAGUCUCCCCGGUCGCACCA